Molecule: ribosomal RNA, 519 nt
Filed under: uncultured fungus
Lineage: Eukaryota; Fungi
Description: SSU rRNA
Rfam family: Eukaryotic small subunit ribosomal RNA
Source: RNAcentral
AUUAAAAACCAAUGCCCUUCGGGGCUCUCUGGUGAUUCAUAACAACUUCUCGAAUCGCACGGCCUUGUGCCGGCGAUGGUUCAUUCAAAUUUCUACCCUAUCAACUUUCGACGGCUGGGUCUUGGCCAGCCGUGGUGACAACGGGUAACGGAGGGUUAGGGCUCGACCCCGGAGAAGGAGCCUGAGAAACGGCUACUACAUCCAAGGAAGGCAGCAGGCGCGCAAAUUACCCAAUCCCGACACGGGGAGGUAGUGACAAUAAAUACUGAUACAGGGCUCUUUCGGGUCUUGUAAUUGGAAUGAGUACAAUUUAAAUCCCUUAACGAGGAACAAUUGGAGGGCAAGUCUGGUGCCAGCAGCCGCGGUAAUUCCAGCUCCAAUAGCGUAUAUUAAAGUUGUUGAGGUUAAAAAGCUCGUAGUUGAACCUUGGGCCUAGCCGGCCGGUCCGCCUCACCGCGUGCACUGGCUCGGCUGGGUCUUUCCUUCUGGAGAACCGCAUGCCCUUCACUGGGGUGUGCC